GUUCUCAUUUCGGCAGCACAGAUACUGAGAUUGGAAUAAUAGAGAAGUUUAGCAUGUUCCCUGUGUAAGGAUGACAGGCAAAUCCAUGAAGCGUUCCAUAUUUUG
Molecule: non-coding RNA, 105 nt
Organism: Erinaceus europaeus (western European hedgehog)
Lineage: Eukaryota; Metazoa; Chordata; Mammalia; Eulipotyphla; Erinaceidae
Source: Rfam